AACGCAUAUUGCGCCCCUUGGUAUUCCGGGGGGCACACCUGUUCGAGCGCCAUUAGGACCCCUCAAGCAUUGCUUGGUGUUGGGUUAGGUCCUUUAGGGGACCCACCCGUAACUCGUAGGUGGUCAUCGGUGACCCCCCCUAGCGUAGCAGGCUAAACGCACCCGCUCGGGGGUGGCCCCUGUGGCCCCGCCUAAAAAACUUUUUAUGUCCAAAGGUUUGGCCUCGGAUCAGGUGGGGAUACCCGCUGAACUUAA
This 255-nucleotide unclassified non-coding RNA is filed under the name uncultured fungus. RNAcentral's name for it is "partial contains 5.8S ribosomal RNA, internal transcribed spacer 2, and large subunit ribosomal RNA". Lineage: Eukaryota; Fungi. The record is from RNAcentral.